Molecule: ribosomal RNA, 430 nt
Filed under: uncultured bacterium
Lineage: Bacteria
Description: bacterial SSU rRNA
Rfam family: Bacterial small subunit ribosomal RNA
Source: RNAcentral
CGAACGCUGGCGGCAUGCCUAACACAUGCAAGUCGAACGAGAUCUUCGGAUCUAGUGGCGCACGGGUGCGUAACGCGUGGGAAUCUACCCUUGGGUUCGGAAUAACAGUUGGAAACGACUGCUAAUACUGGAUGAUGACGUAAGUCCAAAGAUUUAUCGCCCAGGGAUGAGCCCGCGUAGGAUUAGCUAGUUGGUGAGGUAAAGGCUCACCAAGGCGACGAUCCUUAGCUGGUCUGAGAGGAUGAUCAGCCACACUGGGACUGAGACACGGCCCAGACUCCUACGGGAGGCAGCAGUGGGGAAUAUUGGACAAUGGGCGAAAGCCUGAUCCAGCAAUGCCGCGUGAGUGAUGAAGGCCUUAGGGUUGUAAAGCUCUUUUACCCGAGAUGAUAAUGACAGUAUCGGGAGAAUAAGCUCCGGCUAACUCCGU